GAUGAACGCUGGCGGCGUGCCUAACACAUGCAAGUCGAACGGAGUCCAGCCUUUAAGACCUUCGGGUCAAAGAGGGGAAGACUGAGUGGCGGACGGGUGAGUAACACGUGGGCAACCUGGCUCAUAGAGGGGGAUAACAGAGAGAAAUUUCUGCUAAUACCGCAUAAGCACACACUGCCGCAUGGCAGAGGGUGAAAAGAGAAUGGCUAUGAGAUGGACCCGCGUCUGAUUAGCCAGUUGGCAGGGUAAGAGCCUACCAAAGCGACGAUCAGUAGCCGAUCUGAGAGGAUGAUCAGCCACGUUGGGACUGAGACACGGCCCGAACUCCUACGGGAGGCAGCAGAGGGGGAUAUUGCACAAUGGGGGGAACCCUGAUGCAGCGACGCCGCGUGAGUGAAGAAGUAUUUCGGUAUGUAAAGCUCUAUCAGCAGGGAAGAUAAUGACAGUACCUGAAGAAGAAGCCCCGGCUAACUACGUG
This 478-nucleotide ribosomal RNA is filed under the name uncultured bacterium. Its description in RNAcentral is "partial 16S ribosomal RNA". It matches the Rfam family "Bacterial small subunit ribosomal RNA", at positions 28 to 507 of the family's 1533-position model. The record is from RNAcentral.